GAUGAACGCUGGCGGCGUGCCUAAUACAUGCAAGUAGAACGCUGAAGGAGGAGCUUGCUCUUUCCGGAUGAGUUGCGAACGGGUGAGUAACGCGUAGGUAACCUGCCUGGUAGCGGGGGAUAACUAUUGGAAACGAUAGCUAAUACCGCAUAACAGUAGAUAUUGCAUGAUAUUUGCUUGAAAGGGGCAAUUGCUCCACUACCAGAUGGACCUGCGUUGUAUUAGCUAGUUGGUGAGGUAACGGCUCACCAAGGCGACGAUACAUAGCCGACCUGAGAGGGUGAUCGGCCACACUGGGACGGAGACACGGCCCAGACUCCUACGGGAGGCAGCAGUAGGGAAUCUUCGGCAAUGGACGGAAGUCUGACCGAGCAACGCCGCGUGAGUGAAGAAGGUUUUCGGAUCGUAAAGCUCUGUUGUAAGAGAAGAACGAGUGUGAGAGUGGAAAGUUCACACUGUGACGGUAUCUUACCAGAAAGGGACGGCUAACUACGUG
This 496-nucleotide ribosomal RNA is filed under the name uncultured bacterium. RNAcentral's name for it is "partial 16S ribosomal RNA". It matches the Rfam family "Bacterial small subunit ribosomal RNA", at positions 28 to 507 of the family's 1533-position model. The record is from RNAcentral.